AAGGCUCAAUACAUCCAUCAUCUGCUAUAUAUAUAUAUAUAUAUAUACACACACACACACACUCACACACCCCUCUUUCUUCAUCUUCAUCUUCUGGUUUUAGGGUUUUGUGGCAUAGAAGGAUGAGUGAUCCCAAGUAUGGCUAUCCCUACCCAGCUCAAGGGUAUUAUCUAGGGCCCCCAGUGAUGGCACCCCCCCCAGUAUGUUGCUCCUCCCCCACCUCCAAGAAGAGAGCCUGGUUUUCUUGAAGGAUGCCCUCUGUUGCUGCUGCCGCCUGGAUGAAUGCUGCUGUGACCCCUCAAGUCUUUUGUGUGUUCUAGCUGCUCAUUCUGCCCAUUUUAGUGUUUUUUUUUUUUUUUUUUGGGUUU
This is a long non-coding RNA of Diospyros lotus (date-plum), 368 nucleotides long. RefSeq lists it as uncharacterized. The transcript is spliced from 3 exons. NCBI's taxonomy places the organism in Eukaryota, Viridiplantae, Streptophyta, Magnoliopsida, Ericales, Ebenaceae. The record is from RefSeq and is a predicted model, not a curated record.